Molecule: ribosomal RNA, 429 nt
Filed under: Chloroflexota bacterium
Lineage: Bacteria; Bacillati; Chloroflexota
Description: Chloroflexi bacterium partial 16S ribosomal RNA
Rfam family: Bacterial small subunit ribosomal RNA
Source: RNAcentral
UAGGGAAUCUUCGGCAAUGGACGAAAGUCUGACCGAGCAACGCCGCGUGAGUGAAGAAGGUUUUCGGAUCGUAAAACUCUGUUGUUAGAGAAGAACAAGGACGUUAGUAACUGAACGUCCCCUGUCGGUAUCUAACCAGAAAGCCACGGCUAACUACGUGCCAGCAGCCGCGGUAAUACGUAGGUGGCAAGCGUUGUCCGGAUUUAUUGGGCGUAAAGCGAGCGCAGGCGGUUUCUAAAGUCUGAUGUGAAAGCCCCCGGCUCAACCGGGGGGGGUCAUUGGAAACUGGGGGACUUGAGUGCAGAAGAGGAGAGUGGAAUUCCGUGGUUAGCGGUGAAAUGCGUAGAUAUAUGGAGGAACACCAGUGGCGAAGGGGGCUCUCUGGACUGUAACAGACGCUGAAGCUCGAAAGAGUGGGGAGCGAACAGG